UACAGAGGGGGCGAGCGUUGUUCGGAAUUACUGGGCGUAAAGGGCGCGUAGGCGGCCCGCUAAGUCGAACGUGAAAUCCCCAGGCUCAACCUGGGAACUGCGUCCGAUACUGGCAGGCUUGAAUCCGGGAGAGGGAUGUGGAAUUCCAGGUGUAGCGGUGAAAUGCGUAGAUAUCUGGAGGAACACCGAUGGCGAAGGCAGGUCUCUGGGCCACUACUGACGCUGAGAAGCGAAAGCGUGGGGAGCAAACAGG
Molecule: ribosomal RNA, 253 nt
Filed under: uncultured bacterium
Lineage: Bacteria
Description: partial 16S ribosomal RNA
Rfam family: Bacterial small subunit ribosomal RNA
Source: RNAcentral